RNAcentral lists this ribosomal RNA (301 nucleotides) under uncultured bacterium. RNAcentral's name for it is "partial 16S ribosomal RNA". It matches the Rfam family "Bacterial small subunit ribosomal RNA", at positions 509 to 807 of the family's 1533-position model. The record is from RNAcentral.
CAGCCGCCGCGGGAAUACGAAGGGGGCUAGCGUUGCUCGGAAUGACUGGGCGUAAAGGGCGCGUAGGCGGAAUGCUUUGUCGGGCGUGAAAUUCCAGGGCUUAACCUUGGGGCUGCGUUCGAGACGGGUAUUCUAGAGUGGAGAAGAGGGUCGUGGAAUUCCCAGUGUAGAGGUGAAAUUCGUAGAUAUUGGGAAGAACACCGGUGUCGAAGGCGGCGACCUGGUCUUUUACUGACGCUGAGGCGCGAAAGCGUGGGGAGCAAACAGGAUUAGAUACCCCCGUAGUCCCUGUCUCUUAUAC